UUAAGAGUGCGUAGGCGGCUUCUUAAGUCAGUGGUGAAAGCUUAGCGCUUAACGCUAGAAGUGCCACUGAUACUGGGAAGCUUGAGUCAAGAAGAGGUAAGCAGAAUUCAUAGUGUAGCAGUGAAAUGCUUAGAUACUAUGAGGAAUACCAACAGCGAAGGCAGCUUACUGGUCUUGUACUGACGUUGAGGCACGAAAGCGUGGGUAGCGAACAGGAUUAGAUACCCUGGUAGUCCACGCCGUAAACGAUGAUCACUCGAUGUACACGCUAGUCGUGUGUGUCUAAGCAAAAGCAUUAAGUGAUCCACCUGGGGAGUACGCUCGCAAGAGUGAAACUCAAAGGAAUUGACGGGAGUCCGCACAAGCGGUGGAGCAUGUGGUUUAAUUCGAUAAUACGCGAGGAACCUUACCUGGGCUCGAAUGUCUCUGCUACCUCGAGAAAUCGAGGGUUCCUUCGGGACAGAGUACAAGGUGCUGCAUGGCUGUCGUCAGCUCGUGUCGUGAGAUGUUGGGUUAAGUCCUAUAACGAGCGCAACCCCUUUACUUAGUUGCCAGCACAUCAUGGUGGGAACUCUAAGUAGACUGCCUGCGUAAGUAGGAGGAAGGAGGGGACGAGGUCAAGUCAUCAUGGCCCUUACGCCCAGGGCUACACACGUGCUACAAUGGCGUGUACAGAAGGACGCUACUUGGUAACAAGCGGCAAAUCCUCAAAGCACGUCUCAGUUCGGAUUGAGGUCUGCAACUCGACCUCAUGAAGCUGGAAUCGCUAGUAAUCGCGCAUCAGCAAUGGCGCGGUGAAUACGUUCCCGGACUUUGUACACACCGCCCGUCAAGCCAUGGGAGUUGGUAGGACCUAAAGACAGUGGCCAAUUAAGGAGCUGUUAAGGGUUAGAUCAGCGACUGGGGCUAAGUCGUAACAAGGUAACCAUCUUUCUAGAAAAWCUCGAGCC
This 950-nucleotide ribosomal RNA is filed under the name uncultured Bacteroidota bacterium. RNAcentral describes it as "bacterial SSU rRNA". It matches the Rfam family "Bacterial small subunit ribosomal RNA", at positions 561 to 1533 of the family's 1533-position model. Lineage: Bacteria; Pseudomonadati; Bacteroidota. The record is from RNAcentral.